GCUCGAUAAGGGCAAAUCUAGCGAAAGCUAGAGACGCAAAGUUACCGGUCUACGGGGAAACCUAUGGCAGCGGAACUACCGAA
RNAcentral lists this non-coding RNA (83 nucleotides) under Thalassotalea sp. PP2-459. Its description in RNAcentral is "c-di-GMP-I riboswitch aptamer". It matches the Rfam family "c-di-GMP-I riboswitch aptamer". From Rfam's summary of the family: GEMM was predicted in a large-scale screen for bacterial structured RNA regulatory elements. RNAcentral also lists the same sequence under 1 other name. Lineage: Bacteria; Pseudomonadati; Pseudomonadota; Gammaproteobacteria; Alteromonadales; Colwelliaceae. The record is from Rfam by way of RNAcentral.